This 318-nucleotide unclassified non-coding RNA is filed under the name uncultured Fusariella. Its description in RNAcentral is "partial contains 5.8S ribosomal RNA, internal transcribed spacer 2, and large subunit ribosomal RNA". The stretch from base 1 to 102 matches the Rfam family "5.8S ribosomal RNA", at positions 53 to 154 of the family's 154-position model. Lineage: Eukaryota; Fungi; Ascomycota; Sordariomycetes; Hypocreales. The record is from RNAcentral.
AUGCGAUAAGUAAUGCGAAUUGCAGAAUUCAGUGAAUCAUCGAAUCUUUGAACGCACAUUGCGCCCGCCAGUACUCUGGCGGGCAUGCCUGUCUGAGCGUCAUUUCAACCCUCGCCCCCGGCUUCUGUCGGGGACGGUGUUGGGGAUCGGCCUCCCGUCUUCCGGGUGGCCGGCCCCUAAAUUGAGUGGCGACCACGCCGUAACCUCCUCUGCGUAGUAGUUAAACACUCGCGGGCGGAGAGCGGUGCGGCCUGCCGUAAAACCCCCAACUCUUCUAAGGUUGACCUCAGAUCAGGUAGGAAUACCCGCUGAACUUAA